RNAcentral lists this long non-coding RNA (291 nucleotides) under Malus domestica (apple). Its description in RNAcentral is "long non-coding RNA (MDOM_LNC017953)". Lineage: Eukaryota; Viridiplantae; Streptophyta; Magnoliopsida; Rosales; Rosaceae. The record is from RNAcentral.
CACCGCAGAUGUUGGAGAGCUCGUUCUCGAUCCGAGCCCUGUACUCCUUGAUAGUGGCGACGUGGUCGCUGUUGCCGCGGCUCUCCUCCUUCUGCUCGAUGGAGGAGACGAUGCGCCACGAGGCACGGCGGGCGCCGAUCACGUUCUUGUAGGCGACGGAGAGGAGGUUGCGCUCUUCGACGGUGGGCUCUUCGCCUUCAGGGAGGGAGGAGACGACCUUCUCCAUGAACUCAACCAUCUCCUCGUAUCGCUCGGCUUGCUCGGCGAGCUUGGCGACGUACACGAUCUCUU